CCUUGCCAGCCCGCUCAGAACUUAAAUGAAUUGACGGGGCCGCACAAGCGGUGGAGCAUGUGGUUUAAUUCGAUGAUACGCGAGGAACCUUACCUGGGCUCAAAUGUAUGUUGACGUAUUCUGAAAGGGAUACUUCUUCGGACAAUAUACAAGGUGCUGCAUGGUUGUCGUCAGCUCGUGCCGUGAGGUGUCGGGUUAAGUCCCAUAACGAGCGCAACCCCUGCAUUCAGUUGCCAUCGGUAAGGCCGGGCACUCUGGAUGGACUGCCGGCGACAAGCCGGAGGAAGGUGGGGACGACGUCAAGUCAUCAUGGCCCUUAUGUCCAGGGCGACACACGUGCUACAAUGGCCGGCACAACGGGAAGCGAAGGGGCGACCCUGAGCGGAUCCCACAAAAGCCGGUCCCAGUUCGGAUUGCAGUCUGCAACUCGACUGCAUGAAGUUGGAAUCGCUAGUAAUCGUGGAUCAGCCAAGCCGCGGUGAAUACGUUCCCGGGCCUU
This 499-nucleotide ribosomal RNA is filed under the name uncultured Thermovirga sp. RNAcentral's name for it is "partial 16S ribosomal RNA". It matches the Rfam family "Bacterial small subunit ribosomal RNA", at positions 903 to 1382 of the family's 1533-position model. The record is from RNAcentral. Lineage: Bacteria; Thermotogati; Synergistota; Synergistia; Synergistales; Thermovirgaceae.